This 875-nucleotide ribosomal RNA is filed under the name uncultured Bacteroidaceae bacterium. RNAcentral describes it as "bacterial SSU rRNA". It matches the Rfam family "Bacterial small subunit ribosomal RNA", at positions 77 to 951 of the family's 1533-position model. Lineage: Bacteria; Pseudomonadati; Bacteroidota; Bacteroidia; Bacteroidales; Bacteroidaceae. The record is from RNAcentral.
AGCUUGCUUCAUUGAUGGCGACCGGCGCACGGGUGAGUAACACGUAUCCCACCUUCCGCUGACUCUUGGAUAUCCUUUCUAAAGAAAGAUUAAUACCCGAUAGCAAAGGAUUUCCGCAUGGAUAUCCUUUUAAAGGAUUCCGGUCAGCGAUGGGGAUGCGUUCCAUUAGAUAGUUGGCGGGGUAACGGCCCACCAAGUCGACGAUGGAUAGGGGUUCUGAGAGGAAGGUCCCCCACAUUGGAACUGAGACACGGUCCAAACUCCUACGGGAGGCAGCAGUGAGGAAUAUUGGUCAAUGGGCGAGAGCCUGAACCAGCCAAGUAGCGUGAAGGAAGACUGCCCUAUGGGUUGUAAACUUCUUUUAUACGGGAAUAAAGUCAUCCACGUGUGGGUGUUUGUAUGUACCGUAUGAAUAAGGAUCGGCUAACUCCGUGCCAGCAGCCGCGGUAAUACGGAGGAUCCGAGCGUUAUCCGGAUUUAUUGGGUUUAAAGGGAGCGUAGGCGGGCUUUUAAGUCAGUUGUGAAAGUUUGCGGCUCAACCGUAAAAUUGCAGUUGAUACUGGAAGCCUUGAGUACAGUAGAGGCAGGCGGAAUUCGUGGUGUAGCGGUGAAAUGCUUAGAUAUCACGAAGAACUCCGAUUGCGAAGGCAGCUUGCUGGACUGUAACUGACGCUGAUGCUCGAAAGUGUGGGUAUCAAACAGGAUUAGAUACCCUGGUAGUCCACACAGUAAACGAUGGACACUCGCUGUUGGCGAUAUACGGUCAGCGGCUUAGCGAAAGCGUUAAGUGUCCCACCUGGGGAGUACGCCGGCAACGGUGAAACUCAAAGGAAUUGACGGGGGCCCGCACAAGCGGAGGAACAUGUGGUUUAAUU